Molecule: transfer RNA, 70 nt
Filed under: Thaumetopoea solitaria
Lineage: Eukaryota; Metazoa; Arthropoda; Insecta; Lepidoptera; Notodontidae
Description: transfer RNA-Val
Source: RNAcentral
CAAAUUAGAGCUUGAUUGUAAGUAUUUCAUUUACAUUGAAAAGAUAUUAUUUAGUAAAUAGUUAAUUUGG